Non-coding RNA from Struthio camelus australis, 1135 nucleotides. The record is from RefSeq and is a predicted model, not a curated record. Lineage: Eukaryota; Metazoa; Chordata; Aves; Struthioniformes; Struthionidae.
CUUGGCCUCCAGCCCGUGCUUUUCCCGCAAAAAGCCGGCUUUUGGUCCUGUAGCUACUGCAACACGAGUGAACCGCUUCGCAAGGAGGGCUGCCUCUGUCUCAUGUCCUCUCUGACUGUUUAUUAAAGCUAAAAACACCAAACUGGGUUAUUCAGGUGUUUUCCUUGAGCUUUUUUUUCGCUCAAAGCCAAAACUGCUUCGAGCCCUAGAAACCUACACUGGAUUUAAUCCACAAACGUGACGGUGGUGGGGAAAAUGAAUCACGAUGUCUCUGGAGUGCUGGACUGCUCCCCGGGGCUUCAGCCGAAGCAGGGAAAUGAGGUGCUCCAGCUGGUCCCACCUUGGCCAUCUGGAUCCUUUCGGAGCAGGGAUUAUGCUGGGCGACUGUGGAGCGCGGCGGGAUGAGCCGACUGUCGCUGCGGUUCAGCCCUCCCGGCCCCGAGGCAGCGCCGGGCGCCACUGCCACGUUUUCAGGAGGGAAUUUCUCCGAAACGGGAAUGAGAGAGACUCCGCUUUCACUCAAAUCCCCUUCGUUUUCCUGCGAAUCGCUGCUGAAGGAGUUGCCCUGCCGAGCUGCGCUGCUGAGAGCCUAGGCAGCGCUUUUCGCUUUUCUUUCUGGGCCAAUAUCCUUGUUUGCACGUCUUUGCUGCAAAACCCGGCGAUAAAAAUAGGCGAGCUGCGAGAACGCUGAGUUUUUUUGGUUUUAAAAUGGAGCAAAACGAGCGUGCGGUGGGCCGCUCUGUUUGCGGUGUGGUUUAGGCCGAGGGAGGCUGGUCUCUGAGUCCCUGAGCCUUCGUCUCCCUCCCGGCCGCCCAAAAACGGAGCCGGUAGUUCCCCUGGCCACAAAAGGCUGGGAAAAAAACAGGAAAAAGGAAAAAAACUACCCUGCUUCCGGCUGGGGAGAGAAACGAGAGGAUCAGCCCAGUCCGGGUGCUGUCCCAAUAGGGAAUGACCACCGGCAGGAAUAGCUCAAAGAUCCUGCCAAGCCCCCUUUUUCCUCAUAAUAGCAAUGAGUGAUGGAAGACGGGGUGUAAAACGGGGGUAAAAUGGGCGAUUUUCACACUAGUGGUGAUCGUGGCUCGUGCAAAACAGAUAUAAAAAAAUAUGGGGAUCUGCAAGGGAGAAAUGAGGCGGA